Molecule: ribosomal RNA, 535 nt
Filed under: Clavispora lusitaniae
Lineage: Eukaryota; Fungi; Ascomycota; Pichiomycetes; Serinales; Metschnikowiaceae
Description: eukaryotic LSU rRNA
Rfam family: Eukaryotic large subunit ribosomal RNA
Source: RNAcentral
CCCCGGGCCAUGCCCCAGUAACGGCGAGUGAAGCGGCAAAAGCUCAAAUUUGAAAUCCUGCGGGAAUUGUAAUUUGAAGGUUUCGUGGUCUGAGUCGGCCGCGCCCAAGUCCAUUGGAACAUGGCGCCUGGGAGGGUGAGAGCCCCGUCCGGCGCACGCCGACUCUUUGCACCGCGGCUCCGACGAGUCGAGUUGUUUGGGAAUGCAGCUCUAAGUGGGUGGUAAAUUCCAUCUAAAGCUAAAUAUUGGCGAGAGACCGAUAGCGAACAAGUACAGUGAUGGAAAGAUGAAAAGCACUUUGAAAAGAGAGUGAAACAGCACGUGAAAUUGUUGAAAGGGAAGGGCUUGCAAGCAGACACGGUUUUACCGGGCCAGCGUCAAAUAAACGGGGGGGAAAAGGGGGAAAGAAUGUGGCGCGUGCCUUCGGGUUCGCGUGUUAUAGCUUUCUCUAAUACCCCCAUGUUUGUUUGAGGCCUGCGAUUCUAGGACGCUGGCGUAAUGGUUGCAAGCCGCCCGUCUUGAAACACGGACCCAA